This 101-nucleotide microRNA precursor is filed under the name Chlorocebus sabaeus (green monkey). Its description in RNAcentral is "miRNA (ENSCSAG00000021041.1)". The record is from RNAcentral. Lineage: Eukaryota; Metazoa; Chordata; Mammalia; Primates; Cercopithecidae.
UCAAGAAGUCAGAGAUUAUUUGUGUAUUCCUGAAUUUGUGUGUGUGUGUGUGUAUGUGUGUAUAUAUAUAUACACACACAUACAUAUACAUAUAUACAAAA